RNAcentral lists this non-coding RNA (29 nucleotides) under Rattus norvegicus (Norway rat). Lineage: Eukaryota; Metazoa; Chordata; Mammalia; Rodentia; Muridae. The record is from RNAcentral.
UGAUACAUUUCUGCUCCAAAUGAUGCUCC